GGAAGGGAGUCAAAUGAUUCAGCUCCAUCUUCCAUACAGGUUUUAUCUUCAAACCAAUUCAACUUACCUACCAAAGUGAGAAGUAGGCGUAAAAUAAACACACCAAAACCAUUGGUUGAUAAAGAUACUACGUCUUCUGAGAAUAUUGUAAAUGGCCAAUACAAUAUUGCCAUUCCUUCAUUCAAUGACAAUGUACUCAAUCUUAAGAAAAAGCUUUCUAAUUGUCUUUCCUGGUAUCAAGUUCGGAGGUGGUGUGUUUUUGAAUGGUUCUACAGUGCAAUUGAUUACCCGUGGUUUGCUAAA
Molecule: unclassified non-coding RNA, 303 nt
Filed under: Hevea brasiliensis (rubber tree)
Lineage: Eukaryota; Viridiplantae; Streptophyta; Magnoliopsida; Malpighiales; Euphorbiaceae
Source: RNAcentral